CCACCACUAAGCCAGUGGUGAACUCCACAUCCGCAUCCUUUGCUGAGGAUACGGUUAACGGAGCGAAAGCGACGUUCAACCGCAAAACAAGCAGAGGGGGCUUAGUGGUGGGGUGACUGCGUACCUUUUGUAUAAUGGGUCAGCGACUUAUAUUCUGUAGCAAGGUUAACCGAAUAGGGGAGCCGGAGGGAAACCGAGUCUUAAUUGGGCGUUAAGUUGCAGGGUAUAGACCCGAAACCCGGUGAUCUAGCCAUGGGCAGGUUGAAGGUUGGGUAACACUAACUGGAGGACCGAACCGACUAAUGUUGAAAAAUUAGCGGAUGACCUGUGGCUGGGGGUGAAAGGCCAAUCAAACCGGGAGAUAGCUGGUUCUCCCCGAAAGCUAUUUAGGUAGCGCCUCGUGAAUUCAUCUCCGGGGGUAGAGCACUGUUUCGGCUAGGGGGCCAUCCCGGCUUACCAACCCGAUGCAAACUGCGAAUACCGGAGAAUGUUAUCACGGGAGACACACGGCGGGUGCUAACGUCCGUCGUGAAGAGGGAAACAACCCAGACCGCCAGCUAAGGUCCCAAAGUCAUGGUUAAGUGGGAAACGAUGUGGGAAGGCCCAGACAGCCAGGAUGUUGGCUUAGAAGCAGCCAUCAUUUAAAGAAAGCGUAAUAGCUCACUGGUCGAGUCGGCCUGCGCGGAAGAUGUAACGGGGCUAAACCAUGCACCGAAGCUGCGGCAGCGAACGUAUCACCCAAGACAACUUUACGGAGUUGACGAUUGACGGAGCGAAGCGACGUCAAAGCGUUCAUUAAAGUCGAGUUGGCUUAGGGAUACGUUCGUUGGGUAGGGGAGCGUUCUGUAAGCCUGUGAAGGUGUGUCGUGAGGCAUGCUGGAGGUAUCAGAAGUGCGAAUGCUGACAUAAGUAACGAUAAAGCGGGUGAAAAGCCCGCUCGCCGGAAGACCAAGGGUUCCUGUCCAACGUUAAUCGGGGCAGGGUGAGUCGACCCCUAAGGCGAGGCCGAAAGGCGUAGUCGAUGGGAAACGGGUUAAUAUUCCCGUACUUGGUGUUACUGCGAAGGGGGGACGGAGAAGGCUAUGUUGGCCGGGCGACGGUUGUCCCGGUUUAAGCGUGUAGGUGUGUGUUCCAGGUAAAUCCGGUUCACUUUAACACUGAGGCGUGACGACGAGGCACUACGGUGCUGAAGCAACAAAUGCCCUGCUUCCAGGAAAA
RNAcentral lists this ribosomal RNA (1218 nucleotides) under Salmonella enterica subsp. enterica serovar Typhimurium. Its description in RNAcentral is "partial 23S ribosomal RNA". It matches the Rfam family "Bacterial large subunit ribosomal RNA", at positions 1 to 1616 of the family's 2925-position model. Lineage: Bacteria; Pseudomonadati; Pseudomonadota; Gammaproteobacteria; Enterobacterales; Enterobacteriaceae. The record is from RNAcentral.